RNAcentral lists this ribosomal RNA (431 nucleotides) under uncultured bacterium. RNAcentral describes it as "partial 16S ribosomal RNA". It matches the Rfam family "Bacterial small subunit ribosomal RNA", at positions 338 to 795 of the family's 1533-position model. The record is from RNAcentral.
CCUACGGGUGGCUGCAGUGGGGAAUAUUGGACAAUGGGCGAAAGCCUGAUCCAGCAAUGCCGCGUGUGUGAAGAAGGCCUGCGGGUUGUAAAGCACUUUCAGUAGAGAAGCGUAACCUACAGAAGAAGCACCGGCUAACUCCGUGCCAGCAGCCGCGGUAAUACGGAGGGUGCAAGCGUUAAUCGGAAUUACUGGGCGUAAAGCGCGCGUAGGCGGCUUUGUAAGUCGGAUGUGAAAGCCCUGGGCUUAACCUGGGAAUUGCAUUCGAUACUGCUUAGCUAGAGUAUGGUAGAGGGAAGUGGAAUUUCCGGUGUAGCGGUGAAAUGCGUAGAUAUCGGAAGGAACACCAGUGGCGAAGGCGACUUCCUGGGCCAUCUGACGCUGAGGCGCGAAAGCGUGGGGAGCAAACAGGAUUAGAUACCCUAGUAGUC